UUCACUUUCCACUGAGAACUGUCCUUUCACCACAAGCACUUAAAUCACGCACUGUAGGAACUGUGUCUGUGUCUUUGUGUUUUGUGUGGGUGAUAAAACUGGACUUUUUGGUUGCAGGUCAAACCCGUGGGAUUUUACAAAACCGAAGUGAUACAUGCCGCUGUAAUCACUUCCAGCAUUAUUAUCUACAGGUAUUUUGCCUUAAGGCUCUGGACAUUGUAGUAAUUUAUCAAUAAACAACCUUGCACCUGUUAGUAAUUGUCCGUGUGAUUUGUCCCUGCACUGCACUCCCUUCUAUCCACUCACCACUUUGCCACACGUGUUAGAGUGGGAUGGAUUCCGCAGCACUGUCAGCGCUGCUGGAGCAGCUUGACAGCAGACGGGAGGCUGAGGAGAGAGGAGAGGUACACCGCGCUGAUCGAGAGAGUCAGGCUGGCGAUACCGCCCACAGUAUCAGCGGGACCUACCAUGACGGCCCCAAAGGCGAGGAUGCAUAAAAUGACGGUGGAGGAUGACCCGGAGGCAUACUUGGUGGCGUUUGAGUGGCUGGCUACCACCAUGUCAUGGCCCAGAGAGUUCUGGGCGAGCCAAUUGGGACCCUGUCUGAUUGGUGAAGCACAGGAAGCAUACCAGGCGAUGGCUGAUGACGACACCACUCAAUACGACCUGGUAAAGCUGGCCAUUCUCCGCCAUCUCAACAUUAUGGAGGAAACUCACCGGGUGAGGCUCAGGGAGUACAAGAGGUCCCUGAAUACACGCCCGAGGGUGGUCGCGCAAAAACUAUGUGGGCACAUGGUACACUGGCUCAACCCUGCUCAGAAAAAAAGCACCCAGAUGGGCGAGGUCAUAGUGAUUGAGUAGUUUUGCCAUGUGGUCGGCGCCGAGACCCAAGCAUGAAUACAACGCCACAACCCCGACACCCUGGAUCAUGCAGUGAAACUCGCUGAGGACUUCGAGGAUUCCCUGGCAUCAGCCCAGACCGGGCUACUCACCGCUCCAAUACCGCAGAGCAUCCGAGCACCACCCCCUCUCUCUACACUUCCACCCCCACCACCGGGACUGGCUCAACGACCUUCUAGACCACCGGCCCCAAUGGGCAACCUUGCCUCCCCUCAAUGGAGACCAAGGUUGACAGAGGUGCUGCCCCCGCCCCGUUGCCAUACCAGCAGCGGGACAGAUACCUAACCGUUGUACCCUCCUUUCCCCCUACCUGUUUUUAGGUUCCACCAGCCGGGCCAUCAGGCCAGGUUGUGCCCAUCUGUGAUGGAGUGUGACGUGGCCGUAUGCAAUCUGGCAUCUGAAGAGGGUGUCACAGUGCGAGAGAGACCUUAUCGGAUCCCAGAAAGUCAAAAAGGUGGCGUUCGCAAAGAGAUCGCAUUAUUUCGUCAUUCAUUUGGAAUGGAAAGAGCUCUAGAAUUCGGAGAGACUAUCUUCAGAGACUGAGACCAGGCGGAGGUCUAGAUCUUCCGAACUUCCAAUCUUACUAUUGGGCCGCCAACAUCCGUAAUAUGCUGUAUUGGUUACUUGUCCACCCCCAGCAUGAACAGCCUGAAUGGUUAUAUCUAGAAGAAGCCUCGUGUAAAGCAUCCUCAGUGUCUGCACUAUUGUGUUCAUCUAUCCCAUUUUCUCCAUCUCAGUAUAGCACUAACCCACUUGUUAUUCACUGUCUCCGAACCUGGAUUCAAUUCCGAAGGUCUGUCAUCACUCUCAACAUUUACUCCAACUAAAGCCAAUCACUUAUUUCCUCCCUCACUUGUAGAUAAGGCCUUUAAUAUUUGGCAUCGCAAUGGGAUUUGCUGUCUUAAGGUCCUUUACAUUGAAGGCAGCUUUGCUUCAUUUGAACAACUCCGGCAAAAAUGUAAUUUACCACAAACAAAAUUUUUUCCGCUACCUUCAAAUCCGUGACUUUGCGCAAAAUAAGACCUCCACUUUUCCUCACCUUCCACCUGAAUCCCAUAUUGAUUCUAUAUUUAAUCGCAAUCCCGGCUGUAGUAGAAUCAUGUCAAAAAUUUAUGGCACUAUCCUCUCCUUGCAUUGCCCAUCUCUAUCAUCAAUAAAAAACGCAUGGGAAUCUGGAUCUUGCGCUUCCAGAUGAAGUGUGGGAGUCCGUCCUGGGGAGAAUACAUUCAAUCUGCGCCCGUCAUGGGCUAAUACAAUUCAAAAUUGUACACCGGUUACAUCUGUCAAAAACCAAAUUAGCUAAAAUUUACCCGGACGUGGACCCCAUCUGUGACCGGUGCAAUCGAGAACCUGCUUCUCUGAUACAUCUGUUUUGGGCCUGUGACAGAUUGGUUCCAUUCUGGUCUUCUAUUUUUGAGACGCUUUCCACAAUUUUGGAAAUACCAUGUGUGCCUUCCUCAAUAACAGCUCUUUUUGGAGUUGUACCCAGUGACAGCCUCUUAACGAAACUACAAGCUGACACCCUAGCCUUUGCCACCUUGUUGGCAAGACGCCUGAUUUUACUAUCUUGGAGGCAGGCUGCCCCGCCCUCUCAUGCACACUGGAUUAAGGAUCUUCUAUAUUAUUUAAAAUUAGAAAAACUGAAAUACACUCUUAGGGGUUCCAGGUAGAAGUUCUUCCAGGCUUGGCAGCCUUUUAUACUAUAUGUUGAUCAACUUAAGCUGACUCCAGUCUCAUAGCUAUGCAAGGUAUUGUAACCUGAGGUGCUGUGGUUGGAAAGCGUGCCUCUCUCUCUCUUCCUUCUCUCUCUAUCCUUUUCUCUGUUUAUUUCUUUUUUUUUUUACUAUUUUCUCUCCUGGUUUGUGCUCUGAUCUUGUUCUUGUUUUUUGUAGUUUGUGUUUAAAACAAAAAAAAGGAAAAUGAAUAUGUAUUUGAGAAUUACUUGAGUAGUCACAAGUACAAGCUGUGUUGUUCACAUGUACUUCUGCUUGUGUCUCUGUAAACCAAUAUUUUUUCCAAUAAACAAAAUUGUAAAAAAAAAAAAAAGGACGGCACCAACCGCAUCUGCGUUGAUUUCCGUAAGGUAAACGCUAUUGCCAAGUUUGAUGCCUAUCCCAUGCCUCGGGUCGACAAGCUUCUAGAUAGACUGGGGACGGCAAGGUUUAUUUCCAUUCUGGAUCUGACAAAGACAUAUUGACAGAUCCCGUUAACUCGUAGUUCUUGAGCUAACACCACAUUUUCAACACCAGAGGGGCUGUUUCAUUUCAGAACCAUGCCGUUUGGGCUACAUGGUGCGCCUGCUGCCUUCCAGAGACUGAUGGACCAGAUUUUACAUCCACAUCGUGAAUAUGCAGCAGCGUAUAUUGAUGAUGUGGUGAUUUACAGCUCCACCUGGCGAGAGCAUUUGGCUAGGAUCACAGCCGUCCUUCAGUCUCUAAGGGCACCCCGGCUGACAGCUAACUUAGGAAAAUGUGCAUUUGCCAAGAAAGAGACACAAUACUUGGGAUUUAUAAUGGGGAAUGGCAGGGUGAAACCGGUUGUCACUAAGGUCCAGGCCUUGGUGGACGCGGCAAUCCCCAAAACCAAGGCUCAGGUGAGGUCUCUACUGGGGUUGGCCAGUUAUUACCGCUGCUUUAUCCCCGAGUAUGCCACACUGGUUAAUCCCUUAGUUGACCUCACCAGGAAGAGCGCACCAAAUUCAAUUAAGUGGUCAGAUGAAUGACGGGGUGUUUGAUAUUGUUAAGCAGAGACUUUGCCAGGCCCCCACUCUCAUCACUCCAGACUUCACCAAGAGAUUCAUCCUCCACACCGAUGCAUCGGAUGUCAGUUUGGGUGCAGUCCUGUCCCAAAUGGUAGACGGAGUAGAACAUCCCAUUCUGUAUAUAAGUAAAAAAUGCCAACUCGGGAGCGCAACUACUCCGUUGUCGAAAAAGAAUGUUUGGCCAUCAAAUGGGCUACUCACUCUUUGAGAUACUACCUGCUUGGGCACUCAUUUGAUCUCGUCACUGACCACGCCCCACUCAAGUGGUUAAGCACAAUGAAGGACAGCAAUGCCCGGAUAACUCGGUGGUAUCUGGCAUUGCAGCCCUUCAUGUACCGCAUGGUACACCGUGCGGGAGGGGGGAGUAAUGGGAAAGGUAGAUUUAGCUGAGUGUUCCUUCGGCUCCACUCUGACCUGUGCGGGCACUGUGUAAAAGGAACAGAGUACCCUUAACUAAAUGGCAUGACAAUUUAUUCCGUAGGGUAGGUGGAGUUCGGUCAUUUAGGAAAGGGGCGAAGCUACGAUAUCCAAACUCAGUGACCCAGAUGGUAAACGGUGUGGCAUC
This is a long non-coding RNA of Acipenser ruthenus (sterlet), 4226 nucleotides long. RefSeq lists it as uncharacterized. The record is from RefSeq and is a predicted model, not a curated record. The transcript is spliced from 3 exons. NCBI's taxonomy places the organism in Eukaryota, Metazoa, Chordata, Actinopteri, Acipenseriformes, Acipenseridae.